GGUUGUGAUCAUACCAGCGCUAAUGCACCGGAUCCCAUCAGAACUCCGCAGUUAAGCGUGCUUGGGCGAGAGUAGUACUAGGAUGGGUGACCCCCUGGGAAGUCCUCGUGUUGCAACCC
Molecule: ribosomal RNA, 119 nt
Filed under: Helianthus annuus (common sunflower)
Lineage: Eukaryota; Viridiplantae; Streptophyta; Magnoliopsida; Asterales; Asteraceae
Source: RNAcentral